GCUGUGCAGUUAUUGCCUCUGUUCUAACACAGGGAAGCCUAGGCUUGUGUUAUAAACAGAGGCAGUAACUCUGCACUGC
RNAcentral lists this microRNA precursor (79 nucleotides) under Callithrix jacchus (white-tufted-ear marmoset). Its description in RNAcentral is "microRNA cja-mir-3152 precursor". The record is from miRBase by way of RNAcentral. Lineage: Eukaryota; Metazoa; Chordata; Mammalia; Primates; Cebidae.